This 19-nucleotide small nuclear RNA is filed under the name Arabidopsis thaliana (thale cress). RNAcentral's name for it is "snRNA_12539". Lineage: Eukaryota; Viridiplantae; Streptophyta; Magnoliopsida; Brassicales; Brassicaceae. The record is from RNAcentral.
AAAGAGCUUGGAGCUCACA